AGAGUUUGAUCCUGGCUCAGGAUGAACGCUAGCUACAGGCUUAACACAUGCAAGUCGAGGGGCAGCAUGGUCUUAGCUUGCUAAGGCCGAUGGCGACCGGCGCACGGGUGAGUAACGCGUAUCCAACCUGCCUUACACUCUUGGACAGCCUUCUGAAAGGGAGAUUAAUACAAGAUGUUAUCAUGAGUAAGCAUUUUCGCAUGAUUAAAGGUUUACCGGUGUAAGAUGGGGAUGCGUUCCAUUAGAUAGUAGGCGGGGUAACGGCCCACCUAGUCUUCGAUGGAUAGGGGUUCUGAGAGGAAGGUCCCCCACAUUGGAACUGAGACACGGUCCAAACUCCUACGGGAGGCAGCAGUGAGGAAUAUUGGUCAAUGGACGAGAGUCUGAACCAGCCAAGUAGCGUGAAGGAUGAAGGUUCUAUGGAUUGUAAACUUCUUUUAUACGGGAAUAAACGGAUCCACGUGUGGAUUUUUGCAUGUACCGUAUGAAUAAGGAUCGGCUAACUCCGUGCCAGCAGCCGCGGUAAUACGGAGGAUCCGAGCGUUAUCCGGAUUUAUUGGGUUUAAAGGGAGCGUAGAUGGGUUGUUAAGUCAGUUGUGAAAGUUUGCGGCUCAACCGUAAAAUUGCAAUUGAUACUGGCAGUCUUGAGUACAGUUGAGGUAGGCGGAAUUCGUGGUGUAGCGGUGAAAUGCUUAGAUAUCACGAAGAACUCCGAUUGCGAAGGCAGCUUACUAACCUGUAACUGACAUUGAUGCUCGAAAGUGUGGGUAUCAAACAGGAUUAGAUACCCUGGUAGUCCACACGGUAAACGAUGAAUACUCGCUGUAGGCGAUAUACAGUCUGCGGCCAAGCGAAAGCAUUAAGUAUUCCACCUGGGGAGUACGCCGGCAACGGUGAAACUCAAAGGAAUUGACGGGGGCCCGCACAAGCGGAGGAACAUGUGGUUUAAUUCGAUGAUACGCGAGGAACCUUACCCGGGCUUAAAUUGCAACCGAAUAUGGCGGAAACGCUAUAGCUAGCAAUAGCGGUUGUGAAGGUGCUGCAUGGUUGUCGUCAGCUCGUGCCGUGAGGUGUCGGCUUAAGUGCCAUAACGAGCGCAACCCUUGCCGAUAGUUACUAACAGGUUAUGCUGAGGACUCUGUCGGGACUGCCAUCGUAAGAUGUGAGGAAGGUGGGGAUGACGUCAAGUCAUCAUGCCCCUUAUAUGCUGGGCUACACACGUGCUACAAUGGGCAGUACAGAGAGAAGCAAAUCUGUGAGGAGGAGCAAACCUCAGAAAGCUGUUCGUAGUUCGGAUUGUACUCUGCAACUCGAGUACAUGAAGUUGGAAUCACUAGUAAUCGCAAAUCAGCAAUGUUGCGGUGAAUACGUUCUCGGGUCUUGCACACACCGCCCGUCAAG
Molecule: ribosomal RNA, 1401 nt
Filed under: uncultured bacterium
Lineage: Bacteria
Description: bacterial SSU rRNA
Rfam family: Bacterial small subunit ribosomal RNA
Source: RNAcentral